GGAAAAAAAAAUCCGUCGAUAAUUCUGUCGAAAAAAUUAAUUCUUUUCGUGAAAAAUGGUUACAGGCGGAAAAUCCGUCUAUAAUUAAAUGAACAAAAAUGCUACGUUUUAUUAAAUUAUUACAGACAAAAAAUCCGUCUGUAAUUUAAAAUUUUCUGUCGAAAAAUAUUAAUGUAAACCUAACCUAUCCCCUCUCUCUCCCCGUGGCAGCCCCCAUUCAAACUGUGUUUUGAGCUCCAUUCACAAAUCAAAUACGAGCUUCUUCCUCUCUCCCUAGCAGGAGCUACUUCUUCUCUCCGUGGCUGCUACUUCUGCUUCCGCCGCGGCCGUUGCCGCUGCCGCCGCCGCUUGCAUCGCACAAUCUCUCUCUGUCAUCCCUUGCGUCCUAUGAGAUCCCUCCGCCGCCGCUCUCGUCGCGUCUACUCCCAUCGUCGCAGAGCUCUCUCUGCCGCCGCUCUCAUCGCAUCUGCUCCCUCUGGCGCCUCUUACAUCUAAUCUCAACUCGCUCUCUCAGUUCUUCUUGUAACAAUCUCAAAUUUCAAUGUUACAGCUCAAGAUCUUGUUGACAUUAUGCUUCUAAAUUUGCUUCUAAAUUUCCGAUAUCUUCACUCUUAAUGAUGGAUCUGUAACACCUCUACUCAAGAGCAUGACAGUGCAUAAUAUGUAUGUUGGAGAGGGUUCAGACUUCCAAUGUAAUAUAUAAAAGGGUGGCUGAGCAGUGGGGUUCUCUUGGUGACUUGACUGCAUCUAUUGCAUCAAAUGCAGCUGCCCCAGCUCGUGCUCAUCUACGUGCCAUAAGAAGUAGGCAAAGAGGUGAAACAGAAG
This is a non-coding RNA of Arachis ipaensis, 825 nucleotides long. The record is from RefSeq and is a predicted model, not a curated record. Lineage: Eukaryota; Viridiplantae; Streptophyta; Magnoliopsida; Fabales; Fabaceae.